This 187-nucleotide unclassified non-coding RNA is filed under the name uncultured Herpotrichiellaceae. Its description in RNAcentral is "sequence contains ITS1". The record is from RNAcentral. Lineage: Eukaryota; Fungi; Ascomycota; Eurotiomycetes; Chaetothyriales; Herpotrichiellaceae.
ACGAGCUAGGGUCUUCCAGGCCCGACCUCCUAACCCUGUGUUUACUGUACCUAUGUUGCUUCGGCGGGCCCGUCUUAUGACCGCCGGAGGACCGUAAAAUGUCCUCUGGCCCGUGCCCGCCGGCGGCCAACUUUAACAAAUUCUGAUUAAAUCGUGUCAAAUGUCUGAGUAUGAAUUAAUUAAAAUA